AGUCACUCCAAGAGUAGAAUCAGCAGCUCACCUCACGUUUUAGGAACAAAAUGAGGAAUCACACGUAGACGGACCUGAGCAUUCUCCUGCUCUACGGAGCCCUCUGGAGCUAGAGUUGGGGCUGCUUGACGCUCUUCUCCUUUCGAGUGAAUUGAAUUACUUCGGCUCGGAUGCCUUUGAUCAAAUGGAAGGAUGGAUGCCUGCCUUUAGCGACUUCGUUCGGUCAUUCCUUCUUUACUUGUUCGCUAUGGCUUGAGAGUUAAUCGCACGAGAGAGUAAGUAAGAGAUUGAAAAGAGGAUCAUUGGACCUCGCUNAUCCUUUCGAGUGAAUUGAAUUACUUCGGCUUGGAUGCCUUUGAUCAAAUGGAAGGAUGGAUGCCUGCCUUUAGCGACUUCGUUCGGUCAUUCCUUCUUUACUUGUUCGCUAUGGCUUGAGAGUUAAUCGCACGAGAGAGUAAGUAAGAGAUUGAAAAGAGGAUCAUUGGACCUCGCUCUCGGGCCCAGAGGCAGAGCAAAGAAAGCCUUAGAUCUUUGCUUGUUUCGUGGUAUGGACCAAAGCAAAGGUUCUGCUGCUAUCGACACCUACCCAAUUAACCAAAAGCAUAAUCGAUCGAGACCGAAGCUUAUGCAAUUGUGGAAUUCCGUUCAAAUAGAAAGCUUUUUGGCCAGUUCAAGGUCAGCCGUGAGCUGUAGGAAAAGAUAGUAGCGAACCAGAAGAAAUUCCCGUAGUUGCAUAAGGGGGACGUUGAAAACAUUCCAGCAGAUAGUAUUACACACUCUUAUCAAAACGAGCACUAUACUCUUUCUUAGUUUAGGGCAGAAACAUACUCAAGGAACGCAAAGCUAACCCUCAAAAUGGAAUAUUACCUCACUCAAAGGUUGUUUACUCAGAUAUUUCUUAUCAAAGCGAGGGAUUCGUUUCAGGCGAAAUCAAAUCAGA
Molecule: long non-coding RNA, 940 nt
Filed under: Solanum pimpinellifolium
Lineage: Eukaryota; Viridiplantae; Streptophyta; Magnoliopsida; Solanales; Solanaceae
Description: long non-coding RNA (SPIM_LNC000161)
Source: RNAcentral